AGAGUUUGAUCCUGGCUCAGGACGAACGCUGGCGGCAUGCCUAAUACAUGCAAGUCGAGCGAACAGAUGAAGUGCUUGCACUUCUGACGUUAGCGGCGAACGGGUGAGUAACACGUAAGGGAUCUACCUAUAAGCGGGGGAUAACAUUCGGAAACGGGUGCUAAUACCGCAUAAUAUCUUCUUCCGCAUGGAAGAAGAUUGAAAGACGGCUCUGCUGUCACUUAUAGAUGACCUUGCGGUGCAUUAGUUAGUUGGUGGGGUAACGGCCUACCAAGGCGACGAUCAGUAGCCGGUCUGAGAGGAUGAACGGCCACAUUGGGACUGAGAUACGGCCCAGACUCCUACGGGAGGCAGCAGUGGGGAAUAUUGGGCAAUGGGGGAAACCCUGACCCAGCAACGCCGCGUGAAGGAAGAAGGCUUUCGGGUUGUAAACUUCUUUUACCAGGGACGAAGAAAGUGACGGUACCUGGAGAAAAAGCCACGGCUAACUACGUGCCAGCAGCCGCGGUAAUACGUAGGUGGCAAGCGUUGUCCGGAUUAACUGGGUGUAAAGGGCGUGUAGGCGGAGAUUCAAGUCAGGAGUGAAAUCUAUGGGCUUAACCCAUAAACUGCCUUUGAAACUGAAUCCCUUGAGUAUCGGAGAGGCAGGCGGAAUUCCUAGUGUAGCGGUGAAAUGCGUAGAUAUUAGGAGGAACACCAGUGGCGAAGGCGGCCUGCUGGACGACAACUGACGCUGAGGCGCGAAAGCGUGGGGAGCAAACAGGAUUAGAUACCCUGGUAGUCCACGCUGUAAACGAUGAAUACUAGGUGUGGGGGGACUGACCCCUUCCGUGCCGCAGUUAACACAAUAAGUAUUCCACCUGGGGAGUACGACCGCAAGGUUGAAACUCAAAGGAAUUGACGGGGGCCCGCACAAGCAGUGGAUUAUGUGGUUUAAUUCGACGCAACGCGAAGAACCUUACCGGGAUUUGACAUCCUACUAACGAAGCAGAGAUGCAUAAGGUGCCCUUCGGGGAAAGUAGAGACAGGUGGUGCAUGGUUGUCGUCAGCUCGUGUCGUGAGAUGUUGGGUUAAGUCCCGCAACGAGCGCAACCCCUAUUGUUAGUUGCUACGCAAGAGCACUCUAGCAAGACUGCCGUUGACAAAACGGAGGAAGGUGGGGACGACGUCAAAUCAUCAUGCCCCUUACGUCCCGGGCUACACACGUAAUACAAUGGCGAUCAACAGAGGGAAGCAAAGUCGCGAGGCAGAGCAAAACCCUAAAAGUCGUCUCAGUUCGGAUUGCAGGCUGAAACCCGCCUGCAUGAAGUUGGAAUUGCUAGUAAUCGCGGAUCAGCAUGCCGCGGUGAAUACGUUCCCGGGCCUUGUACACACCGCCCGUCA
Molecule: ribosomal RNA, 1383 nt
Filed under: uncultured bacterium
Lineage: Bacteria
Description: bacterial SSU rRNA
Rfam family: Bacterial small subunit ribosomal RNA
Source: RNAcentral